CCACGAAAAUGGCCGCCGACCUAACCCCGACGAAGGGGAGGUACGGCCCUUAAAGGGAGGUGUACGUGGUAACUGGGGUG
RNAcentral lists this ribosomal RNA (80 nucleotides) under uncultured bacterium. RNAcentral's name for it is "partial 16S ribosomal RNA". The record is from RNAcentral.